UACGUAGGGGGCAAGCGUUGUUCGGAUUCAUUGGGCGUAAAGGGUGCGUAGGCGGGCCCGUAAGUCAGGGGUGAAAUCCCACGGCCCAACCGUGGAAGUGCCUCUGAUACUGCUGGCCUGGAGGGGGAUAGGGGCGUGCGGAACUUCCGGUGGAGCGGUGAAAUGCGUAGAUAUCGGAAGGAACACCGGUGGCGAAAGCGGCGCGCUGGAUCCCUACUGACGCUGAGGCACGAAAGCCAGGGGAGCAAACGGG
RNAcentral lists this ribosomal RNA (253 nucleotides) under uncultured bacterium. Its description in RNAcentral is "partial 16S ribosomal RNA". It matches the Rfam family "Bacterial small subunit ribosomal RNA", at positions 524 to 776 of the family's 1533-position model. The record is from RNAcentral.